Long non-coding RNA from Xiphophorus maculatus (southern platyfish), 2560 nucleotides. RefSeq lists it as uncharacterized. The transcript is spliced from 3 exons. Lineage: Eukaryota; Metazoa; Chordata; Actinopteri; Cyprinodontiformes; Poeciliidae. The record is from RefSeq and is a predicted model, not a curated record.
UGUAGAGAUUUUAUUGUCCUGCUUCACAGUGAGUCCGAGCAUUCAUCCAAACCAGCGAAAGAGCUACCAGCUAAAGGGCUAUGCCAGGAAUCCAUGAUGCAGAAUCUGUGGUGCCCAAAUGUCACACAAGAUCAGGCUACCUGGAGCACCAGUGUGGGUAUGAUGAGGUUGUAGCCUUGGCAUGUCUGCCACAGAUUUGCAUGUCAUGGAUAAGCUACCACUGGUUUAAUCAGGCUUCAACAUGCAGCAAUCAGGACCCAGAUUCACUGCCACCAUCUUAAUGAGCCACAGCAAUCUCACUAGAGGCUGCUGUGCACCUAAUGGGGUACCACACCUGGUAAAGUAUGUAUACAUAUACAAUGAAGAUCUUCCAGGUGUUACCUUUCUUAGAAAAGAGUAGUUAGUUUGCUUCAUUUUCUGCAUUUUUCGGCAGUGUCAGCUCAUUACAGUUCAACCAGGACAGUUUAAAAGAAGCCAUGAUGCAACCAAGAAGAAAUAACCUCUUCCAGUUUUGUCUGAUCUAACAAUAUUUUCCACAACAGUGUUUUCUCAAGGCUUCCUGGUUAGCUUAUGUUUUUAAAGGGGCAGUAUCAUGUGUUUUCCAGACACAUAGUGCCAUUUUAUACCACAAUCAAGUAACUAUGUCACCUUCAGUUGUUAUAGAAUGCUUUACAUAUCAAAUAUGACUUUAAAAAAUUGCCUUUGCAAUUUAAAACCAUGAAAGACCUGCUUCUGUCUCUUUAAGUUCUUGCUCUUUAUGACAUUGCCUUCAGCACAUCAUUGCAACAGAUUUCUCCAUCAAUCUGUUUCAAACCGUUCUUACAAGUGUUGCACACAGAAGAAGUAGUUCCUAUGAUGAGUUCAGCAGAUGCACAGUUCAACCAGGUGCUUGCUAAUUGCUGCUUCUGCUAGUCUGAAGGAGCUGAGUGGAGAGUUGCAGAUUUGUUUUGUGAGGUGGAAGUUCUUGGUGAGAGCAAAUGUUUGGCACAUCGCAAACAUGAAUGAAUCAAACACUUCAGGUAAGUUUUGUUUUUGAUACAGCAGGGAGUUUUUGGAGACUCAGCAUGAAAACAACUUACUAAUAAUGGGUAUAACAGUUGCCUCACGUAAUCUAGGGCACAAUUGUAAAAAUGAACAGGGCAUGAAAGUUUGCAUAAAUAUGAAAAUAUGAAAUAUGUAUGUGAAUUUUCCACCCUUUACUGUGACACCACUUAACAAAAUCCAGUGCCCUCAACUCCUUGUGAAAUUUACCUAAUUAGUAAAUAUAGCUAUAAAGGUGAUGUAUCAAAAAAUAUAAAAUAAAACUAUAAAUCAAACACUUUCAGGUCAUUUUUAAUUAGUAGUUUUAAUAGCAUACCACAUUUUUAUCUCUCAACAUUAUUCCUUCACCCUUCCAGUUCCUCCACAUUUACAUUCAAAAUGGAGAGAUUUGCUCUUUUUAUCUGAAGAUGUCAUUGAAUUACUUUUUUGUCAGCAUUUGGAUGCUUUACUAAAUGAGGUGUUAGCAGCACAGCGGAUUUGCUUUUCAAGUCACAGAGAAUAGAUGCCUUUGUAACCCAGGGUAGAAACUGCCCUUAAUCCCGCCUUUGGUGCUCCAUUGGUUAGAGUGACAGUCAGUCACACAGUGCAUUCAGCCAAUCACUGCAUCUUGAGUGGUUAAUCAGGCCUGCUCCAGUUUUCCCAGUCAGGUGUGAGAGGGAGAGCUGGAGACAAAAGAGCCACAGGUUUGUUCUUCCAAACAAUUAGUUUAUCUCUUUGUUUAUUAUGCACUUUUAAAACUCACAAUAUAAAAAUCAUGUAGAUCUGAACAUCCAGUGAGCUUGGAGCCAUGAAGUUGUCAUGCACUGAACUAUUUAUGGAAUUGGCCAGGUGAUCCCUUUUUAGGGUUAAAGGAUGGCGAGCUUCUGACAACUGGCUGGAGCCAGGAGAACCUGAAAUUCACUCCAUACUGGUCUGGUAGGAGUCUGAUGGUCCAUAACAUUUCCCCCUCCAUCUCACUACAUAGACACACAAUCCAUUAUUCAUCCCUUCUCUGGUGGAAACAAAUUGCGCUUGGACAUUUUCAUCUCAAAUAACUGGACAAUUAAACCAUGGACUUUUAAAUGUGUGUCAGUCACACAAUAUGCUGACCAGCCGGGGAAAGUUAGGACUCUUUGUGCACAUCUAUAUAGAAGAUCUACUGCAGUACUGUGUGUGUGUGUAUAUAUAUAUAUAUAUAUAAAUAAUAUUUAUUUAUUAUUUUUGGUUUCCAUGUAUGUUUGUGUCUUGUGGUGUUCACUUAAUUUUUCUUCUUUAAAAUACAUAAUAUCGAAAGCAGUUAUUCUUUUGUAUUGUUUUAUUGAUUACUGACAGCAGCUCCAGUAGAUGAACCUAGUCUUCUGGUGUUAUAUGCCAUCUAGUCCCUUAACUACAUUAAGUAGUGCUACACUUUCUGUUGUACUAGAAGCUGAAAGUUAUUCUUUGAGAAAAGUAAAGCAAAAACAAAAUGUAACCUGUGGCAUAUUUAAACAGUGAUCAAACAGUAUCUAGAAUCGCAGUGAAGAAAGAGAUCAAAAUUGUA